Molecule: RNA transcript, 1542 nt
Organism: Motacilla alba alba
Lineage: Eukaryota; Metazoa; Chordata; Aves; Passeriformes; Motacillidae
Gene: MTCP1
Gene name: mature T cell proliferation 1
Exons: 7
Source: RefSeq, a predicted model, not a curated record
GGGGCGGGGGACGGCUUUGCGCGGCGCACGCGGCGCGGCGGUCGCGGCGCGGGUGCAGAUCCCACCAAAGCUCGGCCUGCCCUCCCCACGCUGCUGGACAGCCCGGCUGGUCGAUUUUCUUGCUCCUGUUUGAAAUAUGCCUUAUAACGUUACAAGUUUUCAGAAGACCACUGUGUUUCACUGGGAUAAGGAAUAUUGCAUCUGCUUCAUAGCAGGAGGAUGUUGUAUGUGUUACAGCUUAACUUUGUUCUACUUUACACCUAGAUAAAGGAUGAAGACUGUCUGUACCAUUUUGAUUACCUCUUCUAGGGUUCAAAGAGAAUAAUUUCCCCUGACCUCCAUUUGCUAAUGGCUCAGCUUGAUCUAACUGGCACACAGAUAAACAUGCUGUUAAACAAAAGUUACAGUAGCAGGAAGCACCUCAAUGCCCCAGCCUCCUCUGCCCGUGUUGGCUCUCUGUGACCAGCCAAAAGCCGAGUGACGCAGUCCUGAGCGCUGCUCCCGAGGAGUUUGGGUGUGAAUGGACAGUGCUGCCACCCCUGAGAGAUGAGACAAAGGACCCUGCACCCCGACAGCUCAGCGAGCUCCAAAGAUGAGAGUCCUGCACACCGAGCUCAGUGCUCUGUCUCCAGAGUGAUCUUCGUUCCUGUUGAGCUCACCUCACUGCUGGUCACGAGUUUUGCUUUUGGGAUUUAGACCACCUCUUUUCCCCCCCGUUUUACACAAAGACUGUUAAUAGGACUGUUAGUGGAAUGAGCAAAGCCAAUACUCGCAGGGUUUAACUUUGCACCAAUAGCACCUUUUGCCCCAGAAUGCCUUACCAAUGCCCCCCAGCCCGCGUGUCCCAGCGUACGACUCGGCCUGACGUUUCCGCUGGCUUAGGCACCGCCUCAGCCUCCCGAGCUGACUUUUAGGGACAUUUCCGCACGUAGCAUCUCAUCCGAGAGUCAGACACCGCCUGGCUGCCGGGUCCGGGAGCUCUCCCCGUGAAUGUGCUCAGAGCUAAAGAGACCACGCGUGCACCCCGCGGGCCGAUGCCGUCCAGCUGAGCUGCGGGAGCGCCCGAGGGAUGGCUCAGGGAGGGGAGGCCGGCGCUCCUCCCGUGCGGCUCUGGGUGCGGCGCGUGGGGGUUUACUGCGAUGAGCACCGCAAAACCUGGCUCGUGGCUGCGGAAGAGGAGGAAGGUAUGCUGAGGGCUCGGAUCCAAAGAAUUCAGGUUCCCCUGGGUGAGGCGCUGCGACCCAGCCAGCUCCCCCCAUCCCGGCUGCCUCACAUGUGGCAGCUGUCCCAGGGUGAGCAGUACAGGGAUAGUAACUCUCGCGUUUGGGAGAUAGAGCACCAUCUCAUGCUUGAUGGUGUUGAAGAACUGCUGCUUAAACUCGUGCCUGGGGACUAAUCUGUUCCUGAACAUGUCCCGGAAGGAUCCCUGCCAGAAACAAGCCUGUGAAAUACAGAAAUGCUUGCAAGCGAACAACUACGUGGAGUCCAAGUGUGAAGCUGCGCUUCAGGAGAUGCGGAAAUGCUGCGCUCGGUACACCAAGG